This 212-nucleotide ribosomal RNA is filed under the name uncultured Pseudomonas sp. RNAcentral's name for it is "partial 16S ribosomal RNA". It matches the Rfam family "Bacterial small subunit ribosomal RNA", at positions 1174 to 1382 of the family's 1533-position model. Lineage: Bacteria; Pseudomonadati; Pseudomonadota; Gammaproteobacteria; Pseudomonadales; Pseudomonadaceae. The record is from RNAcentral.
UGGGGAUGACGUCAAGUCAUCAUCGGCCCUUACGGCCGUGGGCUACACACGUGCUACAAUGGUCGGUAACAAAGGGUUGCCAAGCCGCGAGGUGGAGCUAAUCCCAUAAAACCGAUCGUAGUCCGGAUCGCAGUCUGCAACUCGACUGCGUGAAGUCGGAAUCGCUAGUAAUCGUGAAUCAGAAUGUCACGGUGAAUACGUUCCCGGGCCUU